RNAcentral lists this ribosomal RNA (492 nucleotides) under Triticum aestivum (bread wheat). RNAcentral describes it as "partial small subunit ribosomal RNA". The record is from RNAcentral. Lineage: Eukaryota; Viridiplantae; Streptophyta; Magnoliopsida; Poales; Poaceae.
AUGCAACGGUUUCAAAAGAGGCGUGAGAAGGUGGGCGAGAAUAGCUUUGAGGCUUUGGUCAUUGAGGAUUUUGAUUGGGGCAAUGAGUGGGUGGACCCAUCACUAUCACAACCUCAAGGUGCUCGAGGUUGUCCUGAAGACAAUCAAGACAUUACAUGGGAGGAUGUUGAUGUGGCUAUUGGUGCAUCUUCAAACCUUCGAGGCCGCAAUCUGCAUAGGACAGCAACUACACUUCGUAGGGGCCAGACAAAUGUCCGUCUGCACUACGCGCGCAAGAGACCUACUACAACACGACCUAUAAUUCCUGAAGAAGAUGAGGUAGAGGAGGACUUGGAGCAAGAGCAACACUCAAGUAUGCCCAAUGCGGAGGGGGAGGAUUCAGACUACGUUGAGGAUGAUGAUGUGAGCAAUGACGAUCAAGAGCCAACUAAUGUUGACCAAGAUGGUGAAGACAACACCAAUGCCAAUGAGUUUGAUGAUGAUGACUUUUGA